This 1389-nucleotide ribosomal RNA is filed under the name Lentilactobacillus buchneri. Its description in RNAcentral is "bacterial SSU rRNA". It matches the Rfam family "Bacterial small subunit ribosomal RNA". The record is from RNAcentral. Lineage: Bacteria; Bacillati; Bacillota; Bacilli; Lactobacillales; Lactobacillaceae.
AGAGUUUGAUCCUGGCUCAGGACGAACGCUGGCGGCGUGCCUAAUACAUGCAAGUCGAACGCGUCUCCGUUAAUGAUUUUAGGUGCUUGCACUUGAGAGAUUUAACAUUGAGACGAGUGGCGAACUGGUGAGUAACACGUGGGUAACCUGCCCUUGAAGUAGGGGAUAACACUUGGAAACAGGUGCUAAUACCGUAUAACAACCAAAACCACCUGGUUUUGGUUUAAAAGACGGCUUCGGCUGUCACUUUAGGAUGGACCCGCGGCGUAUUAGCUUGUUGGUAAGGUAACGGCCUACCAAGGCGAUGAUACGUAGCCGACCUGAGAGGGUAAUCGGCCACAUUGGGACUGAGACACGGCCCAAACUCCUACGGGAGGCAGCAGUAGGGAAUCUUCCACAAUGGACGAAAGUCUGAUGGAGCAACGCCGCGUGAGUGAUGAAGGGUUUCGGCUCGUAAAACUCUGUUGUUGGAGAAGAACAGGUGUCAGGGUAACUGUUGACAUCUUGACGGUCAUCGGAAACCGGGAGACUUGAGUGCAGAAGAGGACAGUGGAACUCCAUGUGUAGCGGUGAAAUGCGUAGAUAUAUGGAAGAACACCAGUGGCGAAGGCGGCUGUCUGGUCUGUAACUGACGCUGAGGCUCGAAAGCAUGGGUAGCGAACAGGAUUAGAUACCCUGGUAGUCCAUGCUGUAAACGAUGAGUGCUAAGUGUUGGAGGGUUUCCGCCCUUCAGUGCUGCAGCUAACGCAUUAAGCACUCCGCCUGGGGAGUACGACCGCAAGGUUGAAACUCAAAGGAAUUGACGGGGGCCCGCACAAGCGGUGGAGCAUGUGGUUUAAUUCGAUGCUACGCGAAGAACCUUACCAGGUCUUGACAUCUUCUGCCAACCUAAGAGAUUAGGCGUUCCCUUCGGGGACAGAAUGACAGGUGGUGCAUGGUUGUCGUCAGCUCGUGUCGUGAGAUGUUGGGUUAAGUCCCGCAACGAGCGCAACCCUUAUUGUUAGUUGCCAGCAUUCAGUUGGGCACUCUAGCAAGACUGCCGGUGACAAACCGGAGGAAGGUGGGGAUGACGUCAAAUCAUCAUGCCCCUUAUGACCUGGGCUACACACGUGCUACAAUGGACGGUACAACGAGUCGCGAAACCGCGAGGUCAAGCUAAUCUCUUAAAGCCGUUCUCAGUUCGGAUUGUAGGCUGCAACUCGCCUACAUGAAGUUGGAAUCGCUAGUAAUCGUGGAUCAGCAUGCCACGGUGAAUACGUUCCCGGGCCUUGUACACACCGCCCGUCACACCAUGAGAGUUUGUAACACCCAAAGACGGUGAGGUAACCUUCGGGGACCAGCCGUCUAAGGUGGGACAGAUGAUUAGGGUGAAGUCGUAACAAGGUAACC